This 406-nucleotide ribosomal RNA is filed under the name uncultured bacterium. Its description in RNAcentral is "bacterial SSU rRNA". It matches the Rfam family "Bacterial small subunit ribosomal RNA", at positions 432 to 836 of the family's 1533-position model. The record is from RNAcentral.
UCUUUUGUCGGAGAACAAAACCCGGGACGUGUCCCGGACUGCGUGUAUCCGAAGAAAAAGCAUCGGCUAACUCCGUGCCAGCAGCCGCGGUAAUACGGAGGAUGCGAGCGUUAUCCGGAUUUAUUGGGUUUAAAGGGUGCGUAGGCGGUCCGUUAAGUCAGCGGUAAAAUUGCGGGGCUCAACCCCGUCGAGCCGUUGAAACUGGCAGACUUGAGUUGGCGAGAAGUACGCGGAAUGCGCGGUGUAGCGGUGAAAUGCAUAGAUAUCGCGCAGAACUCCGAUUGCGAAGGCAGCGUACCGGCGCCAGACUGACGCUGAGGCACGAAAGCGUGGGGAUCGAACAGGAUUAGAUACCCUGGUAGUCCACGCAGUAAACGAUGAAUGCUGGUUGUCCGGGUCGAAUGAG